GCCCUUGACUCUGGGAUAAGCCUGGGAAACUGGGUCUAAUACCGGAUAUGACUGAUCAUCGCAUGGUGGUUGGUGGAAAGCUUUUGCGGUUUUGGAUGGACUCGCGGCCUAUCAGCUUGUUGGUGGGGUAAUGGCCUACCAAGGCGACGACGGGUAGCCGGCCUGAGAGGGUGACCGGCCACACUGGGACUGAGACACGGCCCAGACUCCUACGGGAGGCAGCAGUGGGGAAUAUUGCACAAUGGGCGGAAGCCUGAUGCAGCGACGCCGCGUGAGGGAUGACGGCCUUCGGGUUGUAAACCUCUUUCAGUAGGGAAGAAGCGUAAGUGACGGUACCUGCAGAAGAAGCGCCGGCUAACUACGUGCCAGCAGCCGCGGUAAUACGUAGGGCGCAAGCGUUAUCCGGAAUUAUUGGGCGUAAAGAGCUCGUAAGCGGUUUGUCGCGUCUGCCGUGAAAGUCCGGGGCUCAACUCCGGAUCUGCGGUGGGUACGGGCAGACUAGAGUGAUGUAGGGGAGACUGGAAUUCCUGGUGUAGCGGUGAAAUGCGCAGAUAUCAGGAGGAACACCGAUGGCGAAGGCAGGUCUCUGGGGCAUUAACUGACGCUGAAGAGCGAAAGCAUGGGGAGCGAACAGGAUUAGAUACCCUGGUAGUCCAUGCCGUAAACGUUGGGCACUAAGUGUGGGGGA
Molecule: ribosomal RNA, 688 nt
Filed under: Bacterium SBOSM
Lineage: Bacteria
Description: bacterial SSU rRNA
Rfam family: Bacterial small subunit ribosomal RNA
Source: RNAcentral